This is a non-coding RNA of Pongo pygmaeus (Bornean orangutan), 78 nucleotides long. The record is from Rfam. Lineage: Eukaryota; Metazoa; Chordata; Mammalia; Primates; Hominidae.
CUUGCCCUCAAGGAGCUCACAGUCUAUUGAGUUACCUUUCUGAUUUUCCCACUAGAUUGUGAGCUCCUGGAGGGCAGG